RNAcentral lists this ribosomal RNA (18 nucleotides) under Castelnavia monandra. Its description in RNAcentral is "partial 26S ribosomal RNA". Lineage: Eukaryota; Viridiplantae; Streptophyta; Magnoliopsida; Malpighiales; Podostemaceae. The record is from RNAcentral.
UGACCCCAGGUCAGGCGG